AAUGUUCCAUUAAAUGCUAAAUUUUAGCACUAAGUAUCAUAGAAAUUUUAAUUGUGUGUAUGUAUUUGCUUAUGCCUCUCUUAACUGAGAAUUUCCAGAAUUUUUUUUAUGAAUUACUAAUAUGCCAUGAACCUCAAAUAUCUUAAAAAUCUCUUUGAGAUACACUGAACUAAUUUUUCCAAAAUAUGUGUUUUCUGAUUUAAAAUCUUGUCAUUUAAAUUUUGUGUUUUUUAAUUGCUUGUAACUCAUGGAACACCUAAUAUAUGAAUUACUCUUUUAAUGUUUAUAAUACACUGAUUUUAUGACUUGUUCAGGGAAUAUAAGAAUGGUUUUAAUGACAAUAUAUUCAGAAAUUAAUUUGAUUUCACAGAAGAAAUACAAUUGAUCAAUAAGUUUAUGAAGAAAGGUUCAACAUCUUUAGGAAUUAAAGGAAUGCAAAUCAAAACAACACUAAGAUUUUUCUCUCACUCCUAGUCAAAAGGGCAAUCAUCAAGAAUACAGGCAACAAUAAAUGUUGGCAAAGAUGUGGGGAAAACGUACAAUCAUGCAAUGCCUGUGGGACUGCAAAUUGGUGCAACCACUAUGGAUAGGAAUAUGGAGAUUCUCCAGAAAAUUUGAAUGAAAUCACCAUUUUAUCCAGGUAUUUUACUUCUGGGUUUAAAGCCAAAAAAUUAAAAUCAGCAUACUGCAGUGAUGCAGCCAUGUCAAUGUUUUUAGGAGCUCAGUUCACCAUAGCUAAACGGUGCAACCAACAAAGCUGUCCUGGAUAAUGUGU
This 775-nucleotide long non-coding RNA is filed under the name Marmota monax (woodchuck). Lineage: Eukaryota; Metazoa; Chordata; Mammalia; Rodentia; Sciuridae. The record is from RNAcentral.